GCCGGGAUAUUUCAGUUGGUAGAGCA
This 26-nucleotide transfer RNA is filed under the name Sisymbrium volgense. Its description in RNAcentral is "partial tRNA-Phe". The record is from RNAcentral. Lineage: Eukaryota; Viridiplantae; Streptophyta; Magnoliopsida; Brassicales; Brassicaceae.